Molecule: unclassified non-coding RNA, 336 nt
Filed under: soil metagenome
Description: partial contains 5.8S ribosomal RNA, internal transcribed spacer 2, and large subunit ribosomal RNA
Rfam family: 5.8S ribosomal RNA (bases 1-120)
Source: RNAcentral
GUUGAAGAACGCAGCGAAAUGCGAUAAGUAAUGUGAAUUGCAGAAUUCAGUGAAUCAUCGAAUCUUUGAACGCACAUUGCGCCCGCCAGUAUUCUGGCGGGCAUGCCUGUUCGAGCGUCAUUUCAACCAUCAAGCCCCCGGCUUGUGUUGGGGACCUGCGGCUGCCGCAGGCCCUGAAAACCAGUGGCGGGCUCGCUGUCACACCGAGCGUAGUAGAUUUUCAUCUCGCUCAGGGCGUGCUGCGGGUUCCGGCCGUAAAAAGCCUUAUUUACCCAAGGUUGACCUCGGAUCAGGUAGGAAGACCCGCUGAACUUAAGCAUAUCAAUAAGCGGAGGA